AGCGAACGCUGGCGGCAGGCUUAACACAUGCAAGUCGAGCGGGCAUCCUUGUGGUGUCAGCGGCAGACGGGUGAGUAACGCGUGGGAACGUGCCCUUCGGUUCGGAAUAACUCAGGGAAACUUGAGCUAAUACCGGAUACGCCCUUUUGGGGAAAGGUUUACUGCCGAAGGAUCGGCCCGCGUCUGAUUAGCUGGUUGGUGAGGUUACGGCUCACCAAGGCGACGAUCAGUAGCUGGUCUGAGAGGAUGAUCAGCCACACUGGGACUGAGACACGGCCCAGACUCCUACGGGAGGCAGCAGUGGGGAAUAUUGGACAAUGGGGGCAACCCUGAUCCAGCCAUGCCGCGUGAGUGAUGACGGCCUUAGGGUUGUAAAGCUCUUUUCUCCGGGACGAUAAUGACGGUACCGGAGGAAUAAGCCCCGGCUAACUUCGUGCCAGCCGCCGCGGUAA
This 452-nucleotide ribosomal RNA is filed under the name uncultured bacterium. Its description in RNAcentral is "partial 16S ribosomal RNA". It matches the Rfam family "Bacterial small subunit ribosomal RNA", at positions 29 to 523 of the family's 1533-position model. The record is from RNAcentral.